This 385-nucleotide ribosomal RNA is filed under the name uncultured bacterium. RNAcentral describes it as "bacterial SSU rRNA". It matches the Rfam family "Bacterial small subunit ribosomal RNA", at positions 355 to 732 of the family's 1533-position model. The record is from RNAcentral.
UGGGGAAUUUUGGACAAUGGGCGCAAGCCUGAUCCAGCCAUGCCGCGUGCGGGAAGAAGGCCUUCGGGUUGUAAACCGCUUUUGUCAGGGAAGAAAUCUUCUGGGCUAAUACCUCGGGAGGAUGACGGUACCUGAAGAAUAAGCACCGGCUAACUACGUGCCAGCAGCCGCGGUAAUACGUAGGGUGCGAGCGUUAAUCGGAAUUACUGGGCGUAAAGCGUGCGCAGGCGGUCUUGCAAGACAGGUGUGAAAUCCCCGGGCUUAACCUGGGAACUGCACUUGUGACUGCAAGGCUGGAGUACGGCAGAGGGGGAUGGAAUUCCGCGUGUAGCAGUGAAAUGCGUAGAUAUGCGGAGGAACACCGAUGGCGAAGGCAAUCCCCUGG